AAACUGAUUUAUAAGAGGAACUCAAAAUCAGAUCAAAUCUGAUUUUUUUUUAAUUUUUUCUUCUUAAGAGAAAAAUCAAGAUCUAUAGAAGAAAAUAAGAGAUUAGAUCUCUUGUUCUUCCUUCUUGUCCAACCUUUGGACUAGAUCUAAAGAGAGAAUGUGGAGUAUCAUCAAUUGUUGAGAUUUGAUGUCAUGAGAUUCGAUCCACAUUGAGCCCAC
This 219-nucleotide long non-coding RNA is filed under the name Elaeis guineensis (African oil palm). RNAcentral's name for it is "long non-coding RNA (EGUI_LNC058948)". The record is from RNAcentral. Lineage: Eukaryota; Viridiplantae; Streptophyta; Magnoliopsida; Arecales; Arecaceae.